This is a long non-coding RNA of Selaginella moellendorffii, 834 nucleotides long. RefSeq lists it as uncharacterized. The transcript has 3 exons. NCBI's taxonomy places the organism in Eukaryota, Viridiplantae, Streptophyta, Lycopodiopsida, Selaginellales, Selaginellaceae. The record is from RefSeq and is a predicted model, not a curated record.
CUCCUGGACAUGCGGCGCGAACGAGGCUGUGAGAGAGCUUGCUCACAACCUUGAUCUUCUGCCUCUGCUGCACACCGCUUGCAACCGCGGCAACGAGCUCAGCUUCGGUGGUUGGUUUUGCAGGGUGCAGGCACUGCUCCCGCUCCCGCAGCUGAUUGGGAGAAUUGCUACCGCGGAGCUGCAGCAGAGAAGCAGGAUCAUCACCCACACACCUGGAAGAACACUCCAUGCUCUGGUCAGCCUCAUUGCGGUGCUGGUCGCUGCUGUGGAAGCAUACAAACAACUGGCUGGCAGCCUGACUGGACCGGCUGGCUCGACGUCGCUUAUCCAUUCUGAGGCGUAUAAAAAGCUGACUUUUACAGGCAAAAGCGUGUGGGGGCCAAAGAACUCUACGGAGAUAAGAACACUUAAAUGACAGGAAGAACUCUAGAGCGUCAAGGAACUCAUGCUCUUCAUAAGGAUUUCCAUCCAGAAGCGGAGGAUAUACAGUCGCUGUUGAGUGGUGGAUUGUGACAAUCACCGAUCAAACAAAAGGGAUUCGGAUUCUUGCUUUCAGUUGGCGUAAGCAACUGGAAAUUCUGCAAGCGGUCAGGAAGUGGACGAUGGCUGUGGCUGGCCGCCGGGUUGCUCGCUUGCAGAAACAGCGACACAAUCUUUGAGAACACGCGAGAUUCGAAGUCAUGGCUCUCGCGUAUCGAAUGUCGUGCACGGCCGUAAAGACUCGCUCGUUUUCUAUGUGGAGCUUCCUUCCAGGAAACUUGGAAAGUGCCGCUUACAUUAAUUACUGAGCUUUGUAUUUUGCAAUUCAAAGAAUAAUCAAAAUGAUUUUCAUUA